GUCUACGGUCGUACCACCCUGAACACAACCGAUCUCAUCUGAUUUCAGAAGCUAAGCAGGGUCGACCUGGUUAGUACUUGGAUGGGAAAUAAAGCACCCAGACC
Molecule: ribosomal RNA, 104 nt
Filed under: Mus musculus (house mouse)
Lineage: Eukaryota; Metazoa; Chordata; Mammalia; Rodentia; Muridae
Source: RNAcentral